Lolium rigidum is the source of this 3125-nucleotide long non-coding RNA. RefSeq lists it as uncharacterized. The transcript has 4 exons. Lineage: Eukaryota; Viridiplantae; Streptophyta; Magnoliopsida; Poales; Poaceae. The record is from RefSeq and is a predicted model, not a curated record.
CCAUGUUUCGCUCGCUCUCCGACGAAGCCAGAUUCUCCGCCCAUCUCCCCCAUCGAUUCCUCCCAGUUCCAUCACCUUCUCCAAUCCUAGAUCUCCACUUCCAGAACCCGUCGCACGAGCGAGGGGAAGGGGUUGUCCCGGCGCGGUGGGGAUUAUGGGUUCUCCCUCGAUCUCUCUCCCGUGGUGCUCCAAAACCGCGCCCCGGCUGGAUCCAUCGAUACCCGAGCCUCGCGCCGGCCGGAUCCGUCCGCCGCCACCACUUAUUUGAUCUCCACUCGCUCGUGCCGUUUCAUCCCGUGACCACUCAAGCCAUCUCAGAUCGACCUAUCCCGAGGCAGCGAUGGCAGCGGCCCUCGCGAGCUUGCCCCUCGUUCACCUCACAACAGCGACCCGCAUGCACUUCUUGGCGCAGGAAACAACGGUGUGGAUCUCGCUGCAAAGCUCGCACAAGAACCGACGACAGCGCUCGCAAGUCCGGCCGUCCCAAGACCUAGAGAGAGAUCCACAUUUGGAGCCGAUUCGCCCGACCCCCAUCUUGCUCUCGAAGAAACUGGUCUGACACUACUUCCAGGUGAGGGUCCUUGCUCCCUGCACAUUCAUAUGUCCCUGCGUUGUUUGCUAGUUUUUCAUAUCCUUCUUGUGAUGUCCCUGGUAGUAUAUCUAGCAUUAUUAAUUUCGGGUUUAGAUCGAUCCAGGCUACUAGCCUACUACUGUAUCCAAGCCCUGUUGUUCUUUUGCAGAUCAAUACUUGUAAACUAGCUAUGAUUUAUUUUGAUGCCCACUAACAAAAAAUUUAACUAAUUUUAUUAAUGUUCAUGUUUUUUUGUGCUAAAACCAAACAUGCGAUUUAGUUUUUCUUUUUUAUGUUUCUGUACAUUUCAAUUAUUCAACCAGUUCGCUGUUUGAGUCCUCCCUAGAAUUUUGUAUAGUUAAAACCAGUGGUAGUUGGCCAAGCAAGAUAUAUGAGCAGCCUGAUAAUAUGAUGAUGUUUACUACGUCUUUCUAUUAAUUUUAGCCAAUGGUUCUGCAUUUGGUUAAUUUAUCUUAUAUUAAUGUUUUCUUACAGGGAGAUAGAAAUUGAAGCUCUCUGAGCUGACAUGCAGAUGUAUGUCCAAAAUCAUUUCCCACAAUCCAUUAGUAUUGCAAGUUCCAGCUUAAGAUUUAUCACCUAAAAGCUACGUGCAUCCUGGGCAUAUGAUCCUGGGCAUCAUUAUUUUACUUUUACAAGCAGUAGUGAUUGUACUCUAUUACAAGUUGGUUCUGCUAUAUACUUGCAUACUGCUUAUAUGUUUUUCUCAGCAAAGAUUCUUGUGCUUUGGAAGUGGAGUGGUGUCCUGUCAAGUAGUACAUUUUUCUUUGUGCAUGAACUGACUGAUUUUGACACUGGAAGAUAAAUUAAGUAGCCUAGUUCAAAGUCUCACAAACUUUAUAAAAUAAGCCUUCACAUUUUGAUCUGUCAAGUAGUACCUUCUACUUAAUCUGCAACCUGUAGCCUGGGAUGUUCUGCAAUUCAAUUCCAUGUUCUAACAGUUUACGUGUAGUUUAGGUAGCAUUAUUUUCUAGUUCCCCUUGUAAUUAUCCAUACUGCUUAUUAGUGGUAUGUUGCAUUCAAAGUAUGCAAUACUCAGGCUGCAAUUCUGAGGCGUUGAUGCAAACAUCGACUUCAGCCUGGACGACUACAAGGAGGACAUCAAGAAGCCAUGGAAUGGCUUUCAUAUUGGCAGAUUAGCCGCUGCAGCAAGGAGGAGUUCCAGGUUCCAGGGCAGCUCCAGGUUCUGUGGCGUCACCCUGGACCCUGCACAAGUGUGGCAAGUGGGAGCCAGGAUCGGCCGGCUCAUGGGCAAAGAAGUAAGCAAUCUACCUACAUCUUUAGAGAUUAUUCUCAAGAACAACAUCUGUUAACUUGACACAAAUAUGAACAUGAAAACCUCUGGCUAUACCCUGUGCUGAUCAUUGCAGGUUCAUGUUCCUUGUUCUGUAUGACAUAGAGAUGGAUGUUGCAAGGUAUGGAAUCUCCACCUAGUUCCUGCUCUGCUCAUUCUAUUUGUGGCAUGAUCGAUUGUAUCUGUCCAUGAAUUCUGCCUUGUGCUGUGAUUCUUCGAUCAGGCUUACGACAUGGCCACGAUAGACAGCUGUGAGCGGAGCGCAUGCGCAUCAGGACCUUACUUUAGCAUAUCCGCAAUUAACUAGGUGGAACAUUUAGAAUUUGAGCAUGAAGUAGCUAAGCAGUCCUGUAACUGAAUGUGCACCAUUGAAUGCAUAUACUUAGAAAUUAAAACGUACAAAUAUUCCAGACUAUAUUUCAGUGAGAACACAGGGGACAAACAUAGCAUAUAGGAAACAUGCUGCUAUCCUAUGCACCGAAACUGUAAAACUAUAGAACCCUGUUGUAUGACAUUUCAGACGAGUACUAGCAAUUGCAAAGCUAUGCAGCGAGCAACUAUAUCAGUUUGCAGGGAGAUGAAUAUGUAAGUACUUGUAAAGUUUAACCUGAAAUCACAACUGUGUAAUACAACUAACAGUUAUAAAUUCUAACCAAUAAACUAGAUCUGAAGCAACUUGUUUGAUGAUCUAAUAGUUGAAAUAACCGUGGUCAUGUGUACCCCCUACUACAUAUUAAUAAAGAAUAAUGGAUUAUACCUCCAGGCUUUGAUUGUUGUCUAGGGAUUACCAUGCUGGUGAUAAUAAUCAAAAUGACUGUACUAAUGUGUUCAAAGAGAUAUGAUUGUACUGAAAUGUCAUGACAUGAAGCUUCUAUGGUGGAAGUGUGCAGUAUCUGGAUGAGAACAAGCAGCUGAUCCUAGCCAUCAACCUGGAUGAGUAGGCACGACCUGAUGAUUUUUGGCCGUUAUUUGCUGACUCAUGUAACAGGGCGACCUCGGAAGGCAGGAUGAUAGUUCAUAUUGCUGUUCUGGUAGCGCAGUGUACUGAAGGUCAUGGUGUAGUCCUGUCUAUUGUCAGCCCAGUUUGUGAUGCAGUCGAUGGUCCUCCAGGCUGAAGUUUAUUGCUACACCUGUAGAGCUAGAUAUACUGUGAUUAAAGCUGUAUUUUUGUUAUAUGAUAUAACAGAUUGGUUGUCUGCCUAUUAUUUGAAGUAUUACGUGUGUUUUCAUUAUGUUCCUAAA